RNAcentral lists this ribosomal RNA (808 nucleotides) under uncultured Planctomycetota bacterium. Its description in RNAcentral is "bacterial SSU rRNA". It matches the Rfam family "Bacterial small subunit ribosomal RNA", at positions 46 to 832 of the family's 1533-position model. Lineage: Bacteria; Pseudomonadati; Planctomycetota. The record is from RNAcentral.
GGAUUAGGCAUGCAAGUCGCACGAGAAAGGUUUCUUCGGAAGCCGAGUACAGUGGCGAACGGGUGAGUAAUGCAUAGACAACUCGCCCUUGAGAUGGGGACAACGCCUCGAAAGGGGUGCUAAUACCCAAUGCCGCCUUGGGCCCGCGGGUCCAGGGUGAAAGGAGGCCUCUGAUUCAAGCUUCCGCUCAAGGAGAGGUUUAUGUCCUAUUAGCUAGUUGGCGGGGUAACGGCCCACCAAGGCUGCGAUGGGUAGCCGACCUGAGAGGGUGACCGGCCACAUUGGGACUGAGACACUGCCCAGACUCCUACGGGAGGCUGCAGUCGAGAAUCUUCCGCAAUGCGCGCAAGCGUGACGGAGCGACGCCGCGUGGGUGAUGAAGGCCUUCGGGUUGUAAAACCCUGUCAGCUACUACGAAACACGGGCGAUGAACAAUCGUCCCGUCUGACUUAAGUAGCAGAGGAAGCACCGGCUAACUACGUGCCAGCAGCCGCGGUAAUACGUAGGGUGCAAACGUUGUUCGGAAUCACUGGGCAUAAAGGGCGCGUAGGCGGUCUGAUAAGUCAGGUGUGAAAUCCCUCGGCCUAACCGAGGAACUGCAUUUGAUACUGUCGGGCUAGAGUACAGGAGGGGAGAGUGGAAUUCCUGGUGGAGCGGUGAAAUGCGUAGAUAUCAGGAGGAACGCCGGCGGCGAAAGCGACACUCUGGCCUGUUACUGACGCUGAGGCGCGAAAGCUAGGGGAGCAAACGGGAUUAGAUACCCCGGUAGUCCUAGCCCUAAACGAUGGGCACUAAGUAGAGGGGUUUU